AUGAAUCAGCAUAUUGGAGACAGAUUCAAAAUCUGGUUGAAUGAUUCCACAAUAACAACCACCCACUCAGUGUCAACAAAACCAAAGAGCUGAAUAUUGACUACGGGAGGAAGAAAGUGGAGGACCAUGAGCCAGUACUUAUUAGGGGAUCAGAGGUGGAGGGAGUCGACAACUGUAAAUUCCUUGGCGUUAUAAUUUCAGAGGAUCUGUCCCGGGUCCAGCACCUCUACAGCAGUUUGCCCAAGAACUCCCAGAAGUGUCAGAAACAUCACAGGAAAUGCCCUCACGACCAUUAAGCACAUCUACAAAGACUGCUGCCUAAAGGAAGCCGCAUCAAUCAUCAAGAAACCCCACCAUCCAGAAGCUCUCUUCUCACUGCUUCCAUUGGGAAGGAGGUACAGGAGCCUUAAUCCCACACCACCAGGUUCAGGAACAGUUAAAUAUGCACCUCUCAACCAUCCAGAUCCUGAACCAGCGUGGAUGACUUCUCUCACCUCCACUGAAUUGAUUCCACAACCUAUGGAUUCACUUUCAAUGACUCUACAACUCAUAUUCUCAGAUGUACACUCAGCUUUCCUUCUCUGUGGAAAGUCUAAAGGGUGGCCGUGCAGCAGGUAGUCUUUAUGAAGAUAAGCAGCAUCAUCAAAGAGCCUGUGGUAAUAAACCUCAUGAACAUGUAUAGGAAUAAAAAGAAGCUAAUCCAAAUGGAAGUUUAAGAGGAAGAUCCUCUGUCAAGAUCCACUUGGAUCUGCCAUAACCGGACUCUUCCCAAGCAUAGACUGUAAUACAACAGUAGACUGAUCCCCGGGCCGCACCAGUUCAAUGCCAAGAGUCGGAAACCUACUCAUUAAGCUUUGAGCAGGCUAAAUCUUACACAAGUAUAGCACCCCUAUCAAAAUGGAUGGAAGGAACUGCUAUCUGAGUAAAGUAAGGAGAGAUUAUUAUAAGGAAAGCUUCAAAGCACAAAGAAAAUUUGUUAUCAAAGUUCAUAUAUGUCACCAUAUGCCCCUGAGAUUAGUUUUCAUACAGGCAUAGUCAGUAUAUCCAAUAACCAUAAUAACAUCAAUGAAAGACCACACCCAACAGGGUAGACAACCAGUGUGCAAAAGACAACAAACUGCAAAUACAAACGAAAACCAGAAAUAAUAAUAAUAAGAAAUAAAUAUCAAGAACAUGAGAUGAAAAUUCCAUGAAAGUGAAUCCAUAGGUUGUGGGAACAGUUCAGUGAUGGGGCAAUUGAAGUUGAGUUAAGUUAUUCCUUCUGGUUCAAGAGCCUGAUGGUUGAGAAUGAGCCUCUGAGAAGUUUCAACAAUUCAGCUCUGAAUUUAAACAAAUAGAUGGUAAAUUGGAUUCUAUUCAGCAAACACUUAAUGAACACGAUAAACGUAUAAAAAAUAAUGAAGCAAUGUUGUCGUCUCUGGAAACGGAAGUGGAUGAACUGCAAAAGCUUUGUGAAAAGCAAUCAAAGUCCAAUGAAAAGUUAAGACAGAAGAUUAUCAACAUAGUUUCGCUUCCACUAAUGUUUUAUACUGAUGGAGAUGUUCUCUAGAAACGUGUUCAUUCAUUACUUCAAAAAGUAAUAAAGCCUUUGUUUCAGCUCUAUCUGGGCUUAGCUCACCUAACAUCAGAGGGAUCAAACCCAACAUCCUGAAGUUAUCUAUGGUAUAAUCCUACACUACAAAAACAAUUCCUCAACCAAUCGGGUGAAGAUUGUCAUGUGAUAGUAGUCUUAGAGUGCAUUUUCUACAGUGCAGACAGAUAAGGUUAUUUUCAAUAUUGUCUGAUUCUGUUCUGCAGGCCUAUGUACGACCAUAAUAAAACCAUAAGACGUAGGAGCAGAAUUAGGCUAUUUGGCCAAUCAAGUCUGCUCUAGAGUCCAUAUUGAAAUAUUAAUUAUCAUUCUCCUGCCUUCUCUCCAUAACCUUGACCACCCUUUGAAAUGGAACUGAUGGAGAGCAGGAGAGCUGUGCUUUAUCCAUAGGGACAAAGCAGGCCUCCAGACAAAGAGACAGUGUGAUCAGAUGACUAUAAAGGCUGAAACUAAGAGUUAGUAUAUCCCAAGGAUCUGGAUGAUAUGUUACAGAAUGCAUUCACAUUCAUUCUCUACUUUAAUAAUGGAAUUUCAAAUGACAUAUCCUACUAAACUCAUCCGAGGCAUCAAUGCAACACUCUAAUCCCACUCAUCUAUCAACAAGUUCAAGACUUCCAUCCAAAGUGUACCAUCACUGCCUUUACUUGCUGUGAGCCUCUUGCCGGUAACUUACAGCAGUUUGCUCACACUAUUAGCUAUUCGAUCAGAGCAGGCAAAAUGAAACUGAUGACAUGGCACUCACUAGUAUAUGUCCCCGUGAUUCUCACGAUAAUGCAAAGUGUCACCAUUGGUGACAUGGUACCAAGAAGGUGUAUCAGAAUCUCUACUUUCCUUUAAGAUUUGUCAAGACUGAAGAACUUCUGCAGGUGUACAGUGGAGAUCAUCAUUGUACAAAUCUCCAUGAUGAUCACCAUGGAGAUCAAAUGAUUUAAUUGUAGCCUUUUAUGGAAACUUCAGUGCAAGAGAUUACAGAGAGUGGUGGAACCCAUCCAGUUCUAUCACAGAGGCAGAUCUUCCCACCAUCGGGGACACCUACAAGAGGCAAUGUCUCAGGAAGUUGACAUCCAUCAUUUAAGAUUCCCAUCACUUGGGUUAUGCCCCUUUCUCUUUGCUGCCAAAGGGCAGGUACAGAAGCCUAAACACCCACAUUUUAUGAUUCAACAACAAAUUCUUCCCUACUGUCACCAGGUUCUUGAACUGAUUUGAAAAACCCCAGUUCUAUCUUGGAAUAUACUUCCCUCAACUUGCUUUUAAUUUUUGUUUAUUCUGCCAUGUAAAAUUUAUGUUAACUUAAGUCAAGGUCAUUUAUAUUUGACUUUUUCAAAAUGUAAUAUGCUGCUGCAAAAAAAAAAACAUGGCAUUUAUACCCUGGACAUUUAUGCCCUGGGCUGAGCUAAUUGACAUCAAAAGGGAAAUAUUGCUGAAAGCAGAGAAGGGAGAUGUAGUUGAGAUUCUGGAUGGGAUAAAAUAUGAUAAAAACUAGAAAAGCUUGCUGAUGAUACAAAGCUAGGGGGGAGGGUGCUCUACAGGAUGUAUAGUGCAGUGGGCUUUGUGGCAUAUUGAGAGGCUAUGUAAAUGAGCAUGGAUCCAACGGAUAAAAUAUGACUUGAGGUCACCACUUUUAGAAGGAAAAAUAGAAAUACAGAAUAUGUUUUAAAUGGUGGCAAAGUUUAAAGAUAAAACUGGAUGUUUUUGCACGUAAAAUAUUUAAAAUAACAUGCAAGACAUAAAGCAAUUUGGAUGGAAAAUGGACAUUGACUGUUAUUGCAAGGGCUAUGAAUGCAAUAGUAGAGAUACUGUAUCUGUUGUUGCGCGAACAAAGUCACCAGAGAGAAAAACUGGUAGACAUGAAAUAGUCUCUUUAUCAGACAAAAUGAGACACAGCAGGUAUCAUAUUAGACAUUUUUGGAGCAAAAACUCUCCUUGACCCAGCACUACACAACAUUUUAUAUGCUAAAAGGACAAUUUAGGACAAUUCCAUCACAAUGUUUCCUUUGAACUACACACAAUCUUCAUCCCUCCCUCUUCACACCCACACGACAGACUCCCAAAUAAGGAGUUUAAAUCAGCAUUGCCUGGCCAUCCAAUUAACUAAGAACAAUUGGUAUAUAGGAAACAAUUAUUCAGAGCUGCAUCUUAGAUUUAAUCUACCAUUCAUAUUCAGAUUUGAAGAUUGGUGGCUGUAGUUAUUUUGCUACAUGUUCUACCCCCAAAAACACUCUAACAAUAAAGAGUCUCAGCCUGAAAUGUCGACUGUUUACUCUUUUCCAUAGUUGCUGCCUGGCCUGCUGAGUUCCUCUAGCAUUUUGUGUGUGUUGCUAACAAAAUCCUCCUCCAAUCAUAUAGAGCUCUGUGAGACUAGAAUAUUGCACUCUGAUCUGAUCUUCUUACCCUCAGAAGGAUAUAGGUACCAUACUCUCCAGACCUACUUCAACCCUUCUAUGCCCACAUUCUCCUGCGUUUUGAAUAAUGUUAGGUGAUCUCAUUGUUAAGUAUAUAAUUCUUAAAAGGUCCGCAGAGGGUGAAUGACGCUUUAUCUGAAUUGGAUGUAUUGAAACAGAAGUCACAAAAUCAGUCAGGAUCAUUCAGCAGAGAGAUGAGAGGAAGUUUUUUACACCAAUAAGGGAACUGGCACAAGUUGCAUCAGUACCGUGCAACAUAUACAAUUACUAGAGUACUUUUCAAAAGUUUUAGGCUUUCUAGUUAUACAGUAUGUAUGUGCUUUAGACUUUUGCACAGUCUGUAUCUGUUGUAGUUUUAAAAGGAAGCACAGCUCAUAGCACAGGCAAAUGAGCGAGCAUGAGAUUGCUAGUAAGACAGUUUGCCACCAGCUACGAAGCUCCUACACUAUCUACCGCUUAAGAUGGCUAUUAUGUAUGUACCUUCUGGGGAUUUGCUAGUGUCAUCUUGUUUGUCCAAACAAUUUCAAUAGGAAGUGGUGAUGACCUGCAUGGAAGCCAAGUGAACGUGUGAUACUAAUCCAUCACAUAGGCAGACCGGAACAAGCCCUACCCAUAACGUUUUGACAGCUCAUUCAUUUGCAACACAGGUUUAACCAUAAAUGUGCAUGGAAUUUAGAAUUAUUCUAAGUAUUCAAAAACUAUUUGAUUUUAUGAAGAGAUUUAAUUAUUAGAAUCAGAAUCGAUUUUAAUAUCACCGUGUAUGUCAUGAGAUUUGUUAACUUAGUGGCAGCAGUGCAAUGCAAUACAUGAUAAUAAAGGAAAGAAAUACAUAAGUAAUAAGUAAAUCAA
This is an RNA transcript of Hypanus sabinus (Atlantic stingray), 4842 nucleotides long. RefSeq lists it as uncharacterized. NCBI's taxonomy places the organism in Eukaryota, Metazoa, Chordata, Chondrichthyes, Myliobatiformes, Dasyatidae. The transcript is spliced from 3 exons. The record is from RefSeq and is a predicted model, not a curated record.